This 529-nucleotide long non-coding RNA is filed under the name Rattus norvegicus (Norway rat). RNAcentral's name for it is "long non-coding RNA NONRATT029837". Lineage: Eukaryota; Metazoa; Chordata; Mammalia; Rodentia; Muridae. The record is from RNAcentral.
CUUUCUUCUACUUCCAUGCCGUUCUUCUGAGGAUAACCUUCGGUGCCAGGCUCAAUUAUAUACAUAGCGCAAAUGAGCAACCCGGACUCUAAAUUUGGCCUUGUCCAUUGGAAGGAGGAGCCCUGGGGCAUCUUGUGUUGCCCAAAAGGAAAGAUCCUGGUCCCUACGGGGAGUCAAAGCCAACGAAAGGGGGGAAAUUCUGAAAAAAAAAAAAAAAGGGUUAGCAGAGGGUAAAAUGAGAGCAUCUACCGGGAAUUUCCUGACUUCUGUGAAUUUUCCUCCAGAUCUGGCUGUGAGUCAACUCGAUGUUCUUAGGACACGUGGAAAGACUCGAAGUGCCUCCCAGCUCCCCUCAUCCUCGGAGCACCAGGAAGAGCCUGCUGAGUAACCGGGGUGAAAAGGCAGAAGGCCCCCUCCCUCCUUGACUCUGCCCCAGACUCCAUUGUGGUAUUACUAGCCCACAUUAUCUAUAAAAAAUUUCUCUGUACAUCCAACAUAGCAACGAAAAACUUGGCCUCCUUUCAAACUU